Macadamia integrifolia is the source of this 947-nucleotide long non-coding RNA. RefSeq lists it as uncharacterized. The record is from RefSeq and is a predicted model, not a curated record. Lineage: Eukaryota; Viridiplantae; Streptophyta; Magnoliopsida; Proteales; Proteaceae. The transcript is spliced from 2 exons.
UGUGCGAUCCUGAUCCAGACUGCCCAUCUUGAUCGGAAGCUAUGAAACAAAAAUAUAUCAGCAGAAUGAGGAUCCUGUGUCAUAAGGAAUUCCUUGAACCCUCUCAGUGAAAAUUAUACCAUAUUUUCUCAAUCAAAUCAGAUAAAAAGGAUUUGCAAUUACUUAAAAAAGUUGCAGAGGAGACGUCGGGCCAAACGAGCUAAAGAGUUGAGAGUAAGGUCCAGUGGUGUCACCUAAAAGGACUCUUUAAGGAUAAGUCAUUGGAUAGGCUCAAGGCAAUGAAGCCGACCUCAGGUGAGGCAGGGUCCACUCCUUCCCCUGCUCAGGCAUUGUUGGGAGGAAUCACAGCCGGUGUCAUUGCCCUUUGCUUUGUAAGUUCACCAUCACUAUCGAGGAGGCAUUCAAUCGGCAGACCAUCUCGUAUAACUUCUCGGUGGCAAUCCCUUAGAUGCUUGCCAUGGGUAUCGACAUAGUCAAGCUGCCUCCUAGAGUACAAAAAGUGACGAUGAGAGAGCGGUAGUCGAGGGAGACAGUCCGGGUGGUGUGGACAUGGACAUGGUUGAGACAGAGGUCAAUGACACUGAUAACGGGAUCGGAGGGGCAGAGGAAGAAGAUCGCUAGGUAAAGCAGAACAAUAGGAGCCGCAAAGAAGAUUACGCCGGAGGGAGUGGCAGUUGCUAAGACGGCGGUGAUAGACAGGGAGGCCUAUCGCCGGACAUGGAAGAAUAAGAUUUGGGGAUUUAAGGAUUUUAGAGUUGAAGAUUUAGUAAGGGUAAAAAAGUUAUUUUCAUUUAAAAAACAAACACCUCACUCACAGUGUUAAGUUGGGUGAGUUUAUUUGUAAUGCGAUAGGUGGAUGUAAUAAGGGCAAACACGAGCGACGGUGGAUGUAAAUUUCCUAAUAUAUAAUGCCGAAUAAACAAAUAUGAGUUUAGCCCAUGACAUAA